RNAcentral lists this ribosomal RNA (253 nucleotides) under uncultured bacterium. RNAcentral's name for it is "partial 16S ribosomal RNA". It matches the Rfam family "Bacterial small subunit ribosomal RNA", at positions 524 to 776 of the family's 1533-position model. The record is from RNAcentral.
UACGUAGGGACCGAGCGUUGUCCGGAUUCAUUGGGCGUAAAGAGCUCGUAGGCGGCCACUCAAGUCGAAUGUGAAACCUCGAGGCUUAACCUCGAGCCUGCAUUCGAUACUGGGUGGCUAGAGUCUGGUAGGGGGAUCUGGAAUUCCUGGUGUAGCGGUGGAAUGCGCAGAUAUCAGGAGGAACACCGGUGGCGAAGGCGGGUCUCUGGGCCGAAACUGACGCUGAGGAGCGAAAGCGUGGGGAGCAAACAGG